This 254-nucleotide ribosomal RNA is filed under the name uncultured bacterium. RNAcentral describes it as "partial 16S ribosomal RNA". It matches the Rfam family "Bacterial small subunit ribosomal RNA", at positions 524 to 776 of the family's 1533-position model. The record is from RNAcentral.
CACGUAGGGUGCGAGCGUUGUCCGGAAUUAUUGGGCGUAAAGAGCUCGUAGGCGGUGUGUCGCGUCGGCCGUGAAAACCUGCAGCUUAACUGUGGGCUUGCGGUCGAUACGGGCAUCACUAGAGUUCGGCAGGGGAGACUGGAAUUCCUGGUGUAGCGGUGAAAUGCGCAGAUAUCUGGAGGAACGCCGGUGGCGAAGGCGGCAUCCUGGACCGGCAUUGACGCUGAGGCGCGAAAGCCAGGGGAGCAAACGGG